This is a long non-coding RNA of Cebus imitator (Panamanian white-faced capuchin), 310 nucleotides long. RefSeq lists it as uncharacterized. The record is from RefSeq and is a predicted model, not a curated record. NCBI's taxonomy places the organism in Eukaryota, Metazoa, Chordata, Mammalia, Primates, Cebidae. The transcript is spliced from 3 exons.
AUUCUUACCGGCCAUGCCAGUAGCCCCUACUGCUGUGUCGUUCCCCUAUUGGCUAAGGUUAGACCACACAGUCUAGUCUAAUUCCAAUUGGCUGUUUUAAUGGGAGCAGGGGUAUGAGCCAGAGUGGUGGGGUGGGUAGUUUGGUGGCAAGGACAAUUACAGGACAGGCCAGAGCAGGUAGCCAGGGGUGACCUAGGUCAAAGCAAGUGACCAGAGCAGGUGACUGGGAUGACUCAGGACAGAGCAGGAGACCAGGGGAACAAAUGUGAACUAUUGAUUAGAACUGGUAGAAAAGGUUGUUUUCUGAAAC